Molecule: non-coding RNA, 72 nt
Organism: Vicugna pacos (alpaca)
Lineage: Eukaryota; Metazoa; Chordata; Mammalia; Artiodactyla; Camelidae
Source: the annotation of a RefSeq genome assembly
GAGGGUAUAGCUCAGUGGCACAGUGCAUGCGUCACAUGCAUGAGGUCCUGGGUUCAAUUCCCAGUACCUCCG